GAUGAACGCUGGCGGCGUGCCUAAUACAUGCAAGUCGAGCGAACGGACGAGAAGCUUGCUUCUCUGAUGUUAGCGGCGGACGGGUGAGUAACACGUGGAUAACCUACCUAUAAGACUGGGAUAACUUCGGGAAACCGGAGCUAAUACCAGAUAAUAUUUUGAACCGCAUGGUUCAAAAGUGAAAGACGGUCUUGCUGUCACUUAUAGAUGGAUCCGCGCUGCAUUAGCUAGUUGGUAAGGUAACGGCCUACCAAGGCAACGAUGCAUAGCCGACCUGAGAGGGUGAUCGGCCACACUGGAACUGAGACACGGUCCAGACUCCUACGGAAGGCAGCAGUAGGGAAUCUUCAGCAAUGGGCGAAAGCCUGACGGAGCAACGCCGAGUGAGUGAUGAAGGUCUUCGGAUCGUAAAACUCUGUUAUUAGGGAAGAACAUAUGUGUAAGUAACUGUGCACAUCUUGACGGUACCUAAUCAGAAAGCCACGGCUAACUACGUG
Molecule: ribosomal RNA, 497 nt
Filed under: uncultured bacterium
Lineage: Bacteria
Description: partial 16S ribosomal RNA
Rfam family: Bacterial small subunit ribosomal RNA
Source: RNAcentral